GAGUAUGAUACAGGAUGUAACGCAACAUCAACAGAAGAUAAGUAAUGUAAUAAAGUUAUACAUUUCUGUAUAGAUUAAAGUUAUAUACCUGCAGUGUGAAAUAAUACUCCCUGUAAGAAAGUGACUUGAAAGUGACUCGAGUCUUCCUUUCUUGUGUAAAACAGAACCCAGAACACCUUCCUCUGCUCCGUCUGACUCCUUUGUCACUACACCUUUAAUUUGCUCUGCACAUCUGUGUCAGCUUCUUGAUGAUGUUCCAUUACUUCAAAGGGAUUAUGGGCUCGGAAGCGCCACUUGAUGGCUUUUAAAGUGCCUUGGAAUAAUUGAGCACUUCAAUGAUAUCUUGGAAAGUGAUGUAUCAAAGACCUCUGUUCCCUCGGAAAUAUUCAUAAGCCUGAACCUGUCCCAGGAGAUACAUAAAGUAAACCCAGGCUGCUGCAGGAGACAAUCUGCAAGCAGGACCAGAAGGAGGACCCCUGGUGGCCAAACUUUUAUCAAGAAGUAUAUUAGAAAGUGCAUAUCGGAGAAUAAUUGUUAAAUUAAACCAUCUAAAACCUAAUAAGAAGGAAUAUGUUGCAGGCAAAUAACCGCAGUGGUAGGGAAUAAGGAGAUAAUGAUGACCACGGGGCUGAGAGUGAAGAGAGAAUAAGAUAGUUUGAUGAUUGGAUGGAGCAAUGGUCAACUAGCGGCGUCCAUGACCGCAACACUACUGGGGAACCCUGCUGAGAACUCUUCUUUCAUGAUGAAAAUAGCAAAAUGCUUAUAUAAAUACGCAGUAAUUCCAGACUAAAACAAAGAGUUCAGUAAACUUUAUCCAUCUCCAUGAUGUUCUCCCCGUAAGUUCUCUGUCUUCCUAUAGUCGUGGACCAGUAAACCUCGUCUGGUUGCGCAGUCACCUAGCGCCAUCUUGUGGAGAAGGUGCCACGUUCAUGCUUGGCAUGGACUCCGAGCUCUCAAAGGCAAUUAGGAAGGCUUUACACUAGUGAUAAAAGCUGGAGAACACCGAACUGUCUUAGUGAAAACAUGUUCCGUACAAAUGAGAGAAGAAGGCAGAUCAGACGCCUGUCUCCGGCGAUCAGCGAGCGCUGUGUUAGGGGGGGGGGGAGGCAGCCGCUCAUCACCUGCCUAAUGUUAUCUGAGCGAUGUACACAGCUGGGGAGGAACUCUACCUGUACACUGUAUGGAGGGAUAUCUCACCACUAUGGCUUGCUACCAGUCACAGGGAUUAUGGCCACUUGUCCUUGGCCCUCUGUGUCCUUGUGUCUUUUAUCCAUGACCUGAUCAUGUGCCACAAUAUACGUCUAUUAUUCUGUCAUUGUAGUGCUAUAUUAUGUAAGCACUAUAUUUCAGUAAUAUAUGGGCACUCUAUAGGUAUCAUUUUGCUACUAUACUGUACUAUUAUGUAGGCACUAUACUGCAGUAUUAUAUAGCCCUAUGUAGUUCUAAUAAUUUGUCCCUUUAUUGCAAUAUUACCUAGGCACUAGAGA
Long non-coding RNA from Hyla sarda, 1487 nucleotides. RefSeq lists it as uncharacterized. Lineage: Eukaryota; Metazoa; Chordata; Amphibia; Anura; Hylidae. The record is from RefSeq and is a predicted model, not a curated record. The transcript has 7 exons.